Molecule: long non-coding RNA, 509 nt
Organism: Pipra filicauda (Wire-tailed manakin)
Lineage: Eukaryota; Metazoa; Chordata; Aves; Passeriformes; Pipridae
Exons: 2
Source: RefSeq, a predicted model, not a curated record
GAGCAGCAAGUCCCAGAGCUAAGUGCUUUCAGCAGCACCACCUGCUGCUGCCCCCCCAGAAACCAGCCAUAGAUCCUAUAAGCUCUGCUCCCCCAUAACCAGACACGAGGAGCACAUGGCAAAAAAUCUCCUGGAGGGCAGGAAGUAGUGCCAAAGAAGAAACAAGGGGAUGCUUCAGCGAGGCGCCUUCCCAAGCCCCUCAUGCUUCAGAGAGUGUUUGUCAUACACAGAACUGCUAUCAAGAGCCUUGGAGCCGCCUUCCCUUUCUGUAGAGGCAGUGAAUGGGAUCAAACCCAGGGUCCUGCAGCAUUCACAGUGCUACUUUCGUCAUCAGAGGAGCAGAGAAUCUUUUGAUAGAUGUUAACCUAAGAGUUUUUCAUCAACCCUAUUCAGUAGGCAAGUCAAGAAACGGCAAGGGCACUCAAAAUCAGCCAAAUAAAAGGCAAGACAACCCCCCAUACAGAUACUUUCUUGCUAAAACUAUUAAUAAACAUUGCACAUUGCGUCAA